This 65-nucleotide transfer RNA is filed under the name Modiolus modiolus (northern horsemussel). RNAcentral's name for it is "tRNA-Arg". The record is from RNAcentral. Lineage: Eukaryota; Metazoa; Mollusca; Bivalvia; Mytilida; Modiolidae.
GACCUUUUGCUUGUAUAGCCUGCUGAUUUCGGCUCAGCAUGAAUAACGUAUGGUUAUGAAGGUUU